Molecule: long non-coding RNA, 231 nt
Organism: Mastomys coucha (southern multimammate mouse)
Lineage: Eukaryota; Metazoa; Chordata; Mammalia; Rodentia; Muridae
Exons: 3
Source: RefSeq, a predicted model, not a curated record
AUAUAGGGGAACCAUGACAGACCAAAGUACAGAUAACACCGAAGUUCAACUUGGUUUGGGUUCUCAACCCUGUUGAUCUCUUCAAGGAUUGGAAAAAUGAGCACAGUAGAAACAACACAGAACAAAGCUCUACAACCCAGAGGAAAUCAAAGCCAUCAGACUGGCGCAGAACAGGGAGAGAAGGAAGUGAGAUGAGUGGAGACUACAGAGAGCUUAUGAGCUAAUGAUCUC